CCCUACGGGCGCAGCAGUGAGGAAUAUUGGUCAAUGGGAGAGAUCCUGAACCAGCCAAGCCGCGUGAGGGAAGACGGCCCUAUGGGUUGUAAACCUCUUUUGUCGGAGAACAAAACCCGGGACGUGUCCCGGACUGCGUGUAUCCGAAGAAAAAGCAUCGGCUAACUCCGUGCCAGCAGCCGCGGUAAUACGGAGGAUGCGAGCGUUAUCCGGAUUUAUUGGGUUUAAAGGGUGCGUAGGCGGUCCGUUAUGUUAGCGGUAAAAUUGCGGGGCUCAACCCCGCCGAGCCGUUGAAACUGGCAUAC
Molecule: ribosomal RNA, 305 nt
Filed under: uncultured bacterium
Lineage: Bacteria
Description: bacterial SSU rRNA
Rfam family: Bacterial small subunit ribosomal RNA
Source: RNAcentral